UUAUUAAAUUUUGAAUCCCAACUUUUCAAUCCUGAUGCUGCAAAGUACUGAACUCCUAAGCAGUGGGGUUUUCUGAAUUUCUUAUGGUGAAUUGAUAUUUAAGGCAUCAAGCAACAGCUUCAUGA
Molecule: long non-coding RNA, 125 nt
Organism: Maniola jurtina (meadow brown)
Lineage: Eukaryota; Metazoa; Arthropoda; Insecta; Lepidoptera; Nymphalidae
Exons: 3
Source: RefSeq, a predicted model, not a curated record